AUCGACCGAGUGUUACUGGACAGCAUACCGGUCUCCAAAACCGUGUGGUUAGGGUUCGAGUCCCUAGGUCUUUG
Molecule: transfer RNA, 74 nt
Filed under: Pectobacterium phage My1
Lineage: Duplodnaviria; Heunggongvirae; Uroviricota; Caudoviricetes; Demerecviridae
Rfam family: tRNA
About the family: Transfer RNA (tRNA) molecules are approximately 80 nucleotides in length. Their secondary structure includes four short double-helical elements and three loops (D, anti-codon, and T loops).
Source: Rfam by way of RNAcentral